This 8621-nucleotide long non-coding RNA is filed under the name Phaseolus vulgaris (common bean). RNAcentral's name for it is "long non-coding RNA (PVUL_LNC003696)". Lineage: Eukaryota; Viridiplantae; Streptophyta; Magnoliopsida; Fabales; Fabaceae. The record is from RNAcentral.
AAAGAACAGUGAAUAUAAGUGUUUUACUGUGACAGUGAAGGUGGAGUUUGGAGUCUAGAGGUUGUUGAGGACGAUGUUGGCGAGAUUCAAACCUUCACAUGUGGUGUCAUCAUCAGAGAUCUUGGAAGAAAAAGACCAAGAGAACCCUGAGGUGGCAGAGAACCCAACGCUCACCCACUCCGGAAGAAGGCUCUCGAGCUCCACUCUCUGAGAGACGAUGUAGUUCGUUGGCUGAGAAGGGUAAACCAGAGAAGCCACCAAGAGCUUCGUGGAGGACUCAUAGGUGAUCUGAACCUCCGCGUUUUCUCCGUUGACCAAUUCCCACGGCGUCGUUUUCAUAGACUCGAUGGAGUUCACGUCGAUGCCAAUAUGACGGCCUUCGGGGUCCCACUCCUGGUUGACGAAGGUGUCGAACUCCACAGCCACAGUAUGGGCUUUGCUGUUGUAUUUGUCGCUGUCGAAAAGACCUAGAAAACCGCCUUGCUUUGUUGGGAACGAGAGCAAAGCCAAGGCCAUCGGCGGCUUUUGCUUUGUUGGGAGCGUGGAUAUUGAAUUUGAAGUUUGUGGUGAAGCUGGCGACUUUUCCGGUGGCGCUGUCUUAGAUUUGGAUGGGGGCGGAGUAGAAGGCGCGGCCCAGAGAGGCCACCGUGGGUUCUCCGUUGCUAUUAACAUUGGUUAGUCGUAACUGGCCGGAGGAUGAGACGGAGGCAUCGCCUUGGAGGAUAAGGUUGGUUUCGUUGAACCUAUCGAAGCUGAAGGAGGUUUCGCUGGCUGAGUUUGCGUGGCUGAGAAGCACAAGGAAGAGGCUAGGUUGAGUAAGUUGGAGGAAGCCAUGUAUGCAUUCAUGCAUUAACCAUCACUCUCUUCUCUAUUUAUACAACAACAAAUGCAAAAUCUUUCCAACUUUUUUAUUUCAUUCUAUUAUUAAAUACGUGUUUUCGAAUGAUUAACUUUUUUCUUUUAUAAUAUUAUUUGAGAGAGAAAUAAGAAUAUUAAAAUAAGAAUUAAGCAACGAUUGAUUUUACAACGAUUCAACGUUUUGCUACGAUUCUUAAUUACAAUGUGUCGAUAACUCUUUUUAAGUAUUUGGGUAUGCUGGUAGGGGGUGUCAUUGGAGAGGUGCUUUUUGAGCGGACAAAAAUUCCAAAAAUCCACCAUUUAUUAUUAAUCUUUUUUAUUAUUUAGGUAUUUUUCAGGUAUUUUAAGGUUUUAGUUCUCACAGUUACCCUAAUUAGAAAAUUCUAAUUUUUUUUUCAUGAUUUUUUAGUUAUAAAUUAGUGAUAUAUCAAAACCCUAUAAAUUAGUGAUAAUUCAUAUUUUUCGUGAAGGGAAUGCGUGUGCUAAUAAGUUGGCUAAUUUAGGAUUUAUUCAUAGAGAAUCAUUUCAUUGGUAUAAUAGACUCCCAGCUAGUCUGUUCUUAGAAUUCUUUAUGAAUAGGUAUAAUCUACCUAUUUAUCGUUUUUGUUAACAUAUGGGUUUUGGUCUAGUCCCGUCAUAUUUUUGUAUUUUCUUUCUUUUUUCUUUUUUUUUAAUAAUAUUUUUUUUAUGUGAUGACAAAUGAUUGUUGUUACUUGAGGUGUCAGCUUAGCUGAGAUGUCAAGUUGCAUAGUGAUGCCUAACACGAAAACUUUAUAUAAAAAAAAACCCUAUGGACAUAUAUAUGUCAGAUUUGUUAGAAUUUGCAUAUGGAGAUCAUUGUAAGAGCAUGACUGGAAGCAAAUAAUAAUAUUUAACUUAUUCUUUAUAAUUUUUUAACACUAAUUAAUGUGAAUCCUUUUUCCCGCCAUAGAAUAUGUGAGAAAUGGGCCACGUAUUUCCUUAAUUUCUAUAACUCUAAGAUAAAUAAUCAAUAAUAUAGGAAUUAGAUAGAUAGAUAGGAAUAUAUAUGUUAUUAGUGUUUGUAAUACAUCUUUAUCAAUGUAUAUAAUUUGAUUAUCUGAAUAUAUGUAUCAGGGCUAACUUAGUUUUAAUUGUACAAGUCAAUUUAGAUAGGAUUAACAUUAAACAGAAUGAACUAAACAAAAAAUUCUCAUUUAAAAUGGCGGCUUUUACCAUAACUGCCAUUUUAUAUCUUUCAAGAAGGUAUAAAUGACGACUUUUUAUCAUAACCGUCAUUUUAUAUCUUUAAGGAGGAUCUAAAACGGUGACUUUUUACCAUAACUGUUGUUUUAUAUCUUUUAAAAAGGUCUAAAACGACGACUUUUACCAUAAUUGCUGUUUUAGACUGAAUAUAACACAACGAUUAUAUAAUCUCUGUCUUUGCUUGAAAAGAAUAGACUAUAUGUUGAAAGACAACGCUACAAGAACCGUUGUUUUAAUACUAAAAUGAUCGUCGUGAUUUAAUUUUUUUCAUCAGUAAUUGUAAAGUUUCUUUUUAGAGUGUUGAUAAACAUAUAUCGAUUUGAAAUGAAUAGAGUUAGAAAGUAAAAAAAAAAUACAAGAAAAAUGUUAAAUAAUGUCAUAGAAAUAGAAAUGGAAGAGAAGUGUAAAGAAAUUUAAAUAAAAAUUAGAUGUGAGAGUAAGUUAGUUUAUAAAUUGAUUUGUUUAAUGAUUUAAUAACUGUAAAAAUCAAAUAAAAGUAAAUUAUAGUAAUAUGUACUAAGAUUUAAUGUAAUUACACCCAUGUUUCCUUUUUUUUUCUCUGUUAUACUUUAACUUAUAAUAAUCCUUUCCAUUAUUAUAAACUUUUUUAAAAUUACAUAUUUUUCAAAUUAUGCACUAAUAAUAUAAUAAUACACAUGCUGAAUAAUACGCAGUGUAAAUAUAUGAGCUCCUAUUUUAUUUAUGCUCCCAUUUGUGACAGAUGAAGAUUAUUAGCAGGAAAGAAGAGUGAGAGUGAGUAUAAGCAGGGUUUUACUGUCACAGUGAAGGUGGUUUUUGGAAUCUAGAGGAUCUUGUUGAGGAGGAUGUUGGCGAGAUUCGAAUCUUCAGAUGUGGUGUGACAGGAGAACUUGGAAGAAAAAGACCAAGAGAGCAGGUCGUGCGUUUCACUGGACACGUUAGAUGACCCUGAGGUGGAAGAGAACCCAACGCUCACAUUUAAUAAUAAUAUUAUGUGAUACCUCACAAUUAUUUAUCUUAUUAAUUGAUCAAUUACCAUAAUUAUCCUAUUAUAUUAUUGGUAAUUACUAUUAUCAUAAAUAAUUAGGGUUUCUUCUUGGGUGUAUUAUAAAUAGAGAUUACCAGACAACUAAAGAGACACUCUUAUAUUCUAACAUCACACGGUCGAAACUCAUUCCCUAAAGGGAUUUUCGAGCCUCUCAUCUCUUUGUCUCUCUGCUCACAUAAUUCCAUUUUAAGCGAUACACUCUAAAGGGAAACCCGAUCAAGAUCAUGUCUUCGUCCCUCAGCCAUGCGAUCACGGGUUUACCAAGUAUUAUCUAAUCAUUAUUCUCGUUUCAUUAUAUGAUUGAGGAAUCCUAAUCCAACAUGUGGUAUCAGAGUCAGGUUUAUGUUGUUUAAUCGAUUCUUCUUUUGUUUUCCCUAAAUUUGGAAGAAACGAGGAUUUUGAUUCAACCUAUUGAUUUUCGAUGUUUUUAUUUUGGUAUAUUAUUGAACCACUUAUUUUCGAAAAUCCACCUUGAUAUCAUAAAAUAAAUUUUAAUUUUUUCGAGAUCCAUAAUUAUUUUAAGAUUUUGAAAAUUAAAAUUUAAUAUUAAUGUUAUGUGUUCUUCAUAAUUUUCGUGAGUAUUCCCUUAUUUGGAAUGGAAUUAAUUUUGAUUAUAUGUUCAUCAUCAUUAUUUGUUGUUCGUAUGAAUUUUUGAAAAUUAUGAAUAAAGAAUUUUCAAAAAUUAAUUAUUCCCUUAAUUAGGAAAUUUUGAAAAUAAUAUUUUUCCUUAAUUCAAAUUUUCGAAAUACAAUUGAUUCCCUUAAUUAGGAAUGGAUUUGAUUUGAUUUGAUUGUGUUUUUCUAAAAAAAUAAAUAAAAAUUGAUAUCUUAGUCUCCACGUUUUUCCUUAUUUAGGAUAGUAUAUUCUUGCCUUAUUAAUUUUCGGGUAUUAUUAUUAUUAUUACUAUUUUCGAAAAUAGCAGUCGUGUCAAACUUGGAAACAUAUCAAUCUAAUUAAAAUUUUGAAGACCAAAUCUAAAAUCAAAUCCUUAAUAUUCCGCUACUCACUUAUCGAGUUUACGAGUAACAUAUUUACGCGUUUCCUUUUAUUUAUCGAAUUAAAUAUGGUAAAUCUCAUGAUACCGUAAUUAUGUUUUAAAAAAAAUACUUAUUUUGUUAAACUCUUAAAACAAAAAUAUUAAGUUUGACAAAAUUAAAAUUAAAUUUUUUGCUUAAACUUAAUAACAGGAGUCUCCCUUCUGUCCAACGAUGAUGGGUUAUGUCUUGUUAUUUUAGUCUAAUUAAGCACCUUCACUUACUUGUGAGUACACUUAAUUAUUAAAUAUUCGCAUGACAUUUGCCUAAAAACACAAUUAUUUCUUAUUUCUAUUCUGUCCAACGAUGUUUGAUGCACUUGUGUUUUGCAAACUUAAUAUGUGCAUAAGCUUAAAUGUUCAAUUCUGUCCAAAGAUGAUGUGUCACAUUCUUAUUGCACAUACCUUACUUAUAAUUGUUCAUUAUUCUUAAAUAAUUGGUAAUUAACCAAAGUGAAAGCUGAUUGUUUAAGUAGAACCUAAUCUAGUCUAUUAUUUUGAUGUUAUAAUAGAUUUUAUCACAGCUUCAUUAUCAUAAUGGUUCUUACUUAUGCCUGCUUUAGAUCUAAGUUUCCAAAUGUCACUCUAACUUUUUCCUUAGCCUAAGUAUCUUAAUUCGUCGUCUAACCAGCCCCUAAUAUGGAAAUUGAGACCUUGACUGGUGAAAAUCAUUCUUCUUGGAAAGAUUCCUUGAUGCUNNNNNNNNNNNNNNNNNNNNNNNNNNNNNNNNNNNNNNNNNNNNNNNNNNNNNNNNNNNNNNNNNNNNNNNNNNNNNNNNNNNNNNNNNNNNNNNNNNNNNNNNNNNNNNNNNNNNNNNNNNNNNNNNNNNNNNNNNNNNNNNNNNNNNNNNCAAUCAUUAGAGGAGGCAUUCCUGAUUCACCUAACGCUAAGGCUUAUCUAGCUUCUGUGGAGGAACAAUUUCAAGGAACCUCUAAGGCUCAUGCUAGUACUCUUAUCUUGAAGUUGGUGACUACAAAAUAUGACGGGCGCACCGGCAUUCGUGAACACAUCCUGAUGAUGAGCGACAUGGCCCGUAAACUUAAGGGAUUAGCCAUGGAGAUCAGUGAAGGUUUCCUAGUCCACUUCAUUAUGACUUCUCUUCCUUCUGCGUUUGAAGCCUUCAAAGUCAACUAUAAUACUCAGAAGGACAAAUGGUCCAUGAGUGAGUUGAUUGCUAUGACUGUUCAAGAAGAAGAGCGCCUGAAGUUGGAGAAACCAGAUGUUGCUUACCUCGUGGCUGCUGAGUCGAAGAAGCGGAAGGGCAAAUUCCAUAAAAAGGAAUCUAAUAAGGUCCCUAAAACUGAUGCAAGUGCACCCUCCAGCUCUAACAAAUUCACUAGCAAGUUCUACUGCAAGUUCUGCCGCAAGGUAGGACAUAAGCAGUCUGAGUGCUCAAGCUUUAAGGAGUGGUUGGCUAAGAAAGGUAAUCAUCUAAAUAUGAUAAUUGAGUCCUUUAAUUUAAAUGUUCCAACUAAUACUUGGUGGUUUGACUCUGGUUCUAUGGUUCAUGUGACCAAUUCAAUCCAGGGAUUCCUUACAAUCCAGAAGCUGGAAAGAAACCAAAGAACACUUAAGAUGGGGAAUGGACAAGAACUAUUUGUCGAAGCUGUCGGAAUCUUAGAAUUACUUAUGAAAACUGGAAAAUGUAUUAAACUUUAUGAUACCUUAUAUAUUCCCGAAAUUACUCAGAAUCUUGUAUUAGGACCAAAGUUAGACAUUGAUGGUUUUUAUGUUUCCCAUGGUCAUGGCAAACUUACUAUUUCUUUAAAUUCUCAAUUGUUUGGUACUGGUUUUCUGGAUAACGGUCUCUAUAAGUUAGAACUAGAUGAUAACUUCUCCAAAUCUUUGUUAUCAUAUAAUAUUAAUGAGAACUUAACAAAGACCAAGAGAAAACGAGACUUAGAAACUUCAUCCAUGUUGUGGCAUCAACGUUUAGGCCACAUUUCACGAGAUCGCUUAUCUCGACUUGUGAAGGAUGAAGUCUUACCAUCUCUCAAUUUCACUGAUUUUGGAACAUGUGUCAAAUGCCUCAAAGGCAAAAUGACAUCCACGACUAAGAAAGGCAAAAUGACAUCCACGACUAAGAAAAAAAAAUACAAGAAAAAUAUUAAAUAAUGUCAUAGAAAUAGAAAUGGAAGAGAAGUGUAAAGAAAUUUAAAUAAAAAUUAGAUGAGAGAGUAAGUUAGUUUAUAUUGAUUUCUUUAGUGAUUUAAUAACUGUAAAUAAGAAAGAGUAAAUUAUAGUAAUAUUUACUAAGAUUCAAUGAAGUUACACCAAUGUUUCCUUUUUUUAAUAUGUUAUACUUUAAUUUAUAAUAAUCCUGUCCAUUACUAUAAAAAUUUUAAAAAUUACAUAUUUUUCAAAUUAUGCACUAAUAACACGCAUAUAUGGUCAAACAGAAUAAACUAAAGCAAAAAAUUCUCAUUUAAAAUAGCGGCUUUUAUCAUAACGGUCGUUCUAUAUCUUUGAAGAUGGUAUAAAAUGAUGAGUUUUUAGCAUAACUGCCAUUUUAUAUCUUUCAGGAGGAUUUAAAACAACGAUUUUUUAGCAUAAUUGUCGUUUUAUAUCUUUAAAAAAUGCCUAAAAUGAAGACUUUUACCAUAAUCGUUAUUUUAGACUGAAUAUAACACGACGAUUAUAUAACCGUUGUCUUUACUUAAAGAGAAUGGACUUCAUGCUGAAAGACAGCGGUAUAAGAAUCGCUCAUUCAUGCUGAAAGACAGCGGUAUAAGAAUUGCUCAUUUAGUGCUGAAAUGACCGUUGUCAUUUAGCUUUUUUGCACCAAUAAUUAUAAAGUUUAUUUUUAGAGUGGUGGUGAUAAACAUAUAUCGAUGUGAGAAUAAGUUAGUUUAUAUUGAUUUGUAUAGUGAUUUAAUAACUGUAAAAGUCGAAUAAGAAAGAGUAAAUUAAAGUAAUAUUUUCUUAUGUUUAAUGUAAUUUAAACCAAUGUUUUUUUUUUCUAUGUUAUACUUUAACUUAUACUAAUCCUUUCCAUUAUUAUAAACUUUUUAAAAAUUACAUAUUUUUUAUUUUUCAAAUUAUGCACUAACAAUACGAAUAUGCAUGGUCAAUAAUACGCAGUGUAAAUUGUGUAAAUAUAUGAGCUCCCAUUUUAUUUAUUUAUUUUAGUUUGUGUGACAAAUGAACAUUAUUAGUAGCAAAGAAGAGUGAAGAGUGACUAUAAGUAGCGUUACCAUGAGACUAUGUUACUAUAUGAGACUAUGAGGUAAUAUGGCCUGAAAAAUGUUGAAGGAACUUGUCAAAGACUCAUAGACAAAGUCUUCAAGGGGAUUGGCCGGAACAUAAGGGAAAUGGUCGGAACGAUUUACGUGGACGACAAACUCAUGUGCCCAACACAUAAAGAUUUGAAAGAACUCUUUGAAGCUAUUAGGCUAUGAUGUUCAGACACUUCUCUUAAAUGAUGUGUCGGUGGUAGAUACUCAUAUCGGACACCGACAUUCGUAUGACACUUGUAGGACACGUAUUCGUGAAAUGUCCAAUUCAAAAAGUAUUUGUUGGAUUUUUGACAAUUUUAAUACAAUUCUAACAGAAUUUUAAAAAGGAAAAAUACAUUAAUUUUCUAAAAACUCAAACUUAUUGUAUAAAUUUUUAUUAUGAUUAUAAAAAUAAGAAACAAAUCAUUUUGAAGUAGUCAUGAAAAACAUUUUUUUCUCUUUUCUCCAAAAAACAAUCUGUAACAUACUUGUGUACAUAAAUCUUUAUUAUCAAUUUAUAUAAUUUAUAAUUAUAUAAUAUAUAGAUUCGUGUUUUCAUAUCCUACAUUUUAAAUAUUUAUUUUAAAUAUUUUCCGUAUCUUUACGUUUGUGUCCUUGUUUUAUCGGUGUCCGUGUUAUACAGCUCUUAAGUGAAUGAACAUGCGGCUAAAUCCUGAAAAGUUUGCGUUCAGGAAUAUAAGUUAUUGGGUUUAGGGUUUAAUCUCGAGAAAUGUAGGGCGAUAGAGAUAACAAGAUGAUCAAAAAUACAAAAAAAAGAAGAAGAGUAAAAUAGAGUAAACUCCAUUAUGUUAUUAUUUUGGAAAACUUUUCUUCAACAGUCCAAAGUUUGGAGUAAAAAACAAGCAUUUGACAGCUCCUUUUAAUAAUAUAAUAAUAUAUGAGCUCCCAUUUUAUUUUCUGUGACAGAGAAACAUUAUUAGCAGGAAAGAACACUGAGUGAAAGCAGUGUUUUAGUGUCACAGGGAAGGUGGAGUUUGGAGUCUAGAGGAUUUGGUUGAGGACCAAGUUGGCGAGAUUCAAAGCUUCAGAUGUGGUGCCAUCGGAGAGCUUGGAAGCAAAAGACCAAGAGAGGACGUCGUUCGUUUCAACGUUCCCUUUAGUAAUCCCAGUGGUGGCAGAGAACCCAACGCUCACCCACUCGGGAAGAACGCUCUUCAGGUCCACUGUGUCAGAGACGGUGAAGCUUGUUUUCAGAGAAGGGUAAACCAGAGAAGCCACCAAGAGCUUCGUGGAGGACUCAUAG